RNAcentral lists this transfer RNA (77 nucleotides) under Kapaibacterium sp. (SeqCode). RNAcentral's name for it is "tRNA-Ile". It matches the Rfam family "tRNA". Rfam says of the family: Transfer RNA (tRNA) molecules are approximately 80 nucleotides in length. Their secondary structure includes four short double-helical elements and three loops (D, anti-codon, and T loops). Lineage: Bacteria; Pseudomonadati; Bacteroidota; Eximiradiia; Eximiradiales; Kapaibacteriaceae (SeqCode). The record is from RNAcentral.
GGGCCUGUAGCUCAGUUGGUUAGAGCAACGGACUCAUAAUCCGUCGGUCGGGGGUUCAAGUCCCUCCGGGCCCACCA